RNAcentral lists this ribosomal RNA (466 nucleotides) under uncultured bacterium. RNAcentral describes it as "partial 16S ribosomal RNA". It matches the Rfam family "Bacterial small subunit ribosomal RNA", at positions 29 to 507 of the family's 1533-position model. The record is from RNAcentral.
ACGAACGCUGGCGGCGUGCUUAACACAUGCCAGUCGAACGGAAAGGCCCUGCUUUUGUGGGGUGCUCGAGUGGCGAACGGGUGAGUAACACGUGAGUACCUGCCCUUGACUUUGGGAUAACUUCAGGAAACUGGGGCUAAUACCGGAUAGGAGCUCCUGCUGCAUGGUGGGGGUUGGAAAGUUUCGGCGGUUGGGGAUGGACUCGCGGCUUAUCAGCUUGUUGGUGGGGUAGUGGCUUACCAAGGCUUUGACGGGUAGCCGGCCUGAGAGGGUGACCGGCCACAUUGGGACUGAGAUACGGCCCAGACUCCUACGGGAGGCAGCAGUGGGGAAUAUUGCACAAUGGGCGGAAGCCUGAUGCAGCAACGCCGCGUGCGGGAUGACGGCCUUCGGGUUGUAAGCCGCUUUCGCCUGUGACGAAGCGUGAGUGACGGUAAUGGGUAAAGAAGCACCGGCUAACUACGUG